UUAUUUUUGAGUUAUUCAGUUUAACCGAAUAACCGAAAAAAGUUUUCAAAAUUGCAAUUGCAGAACACUUAAUUAAUUAAUUUUACUCAACCCAAAGCCCAUAACCCAUUAGUCAAGACGUAGUCUGCAGAUCAUUUACUACUUCAAAGUCAUUACUCAUUACUACCGAAAAAGUCUUUGAAAAUCAAGUCUCUCAAGUCUGCAGAUCUGUGCUACUUUACUAAAUUAUUCUCCGAGACUCCUCCGACGGCCGACCCUCCUCUUCUCAGAAGUCAGAUCUGUACUCAGAUCUUUCAAGAGUCUUUCAAGUCCACCUUCGAUCUGUACUCCUCGACGGCCGACCCUCUUCUUCUCAAAAGUCAGAUCUGUACUCAGAUCUCUUCGACGUGUUUGGCCAGGUAGUCAGGUAGACGUAUUGGCCUCUGGUGUAAGGUCGGCCACUAUGUUGACUGUUGUUGUUGUUGGCUCGGUUGUCUAAUGUCUCAGUUGGUGUUGGAUCAUUCAUAUUUUUGUAAUAUGUCUUGUUUGAUCAUUCAUGUUUUUAUAAUAUGUCUUGUUGAUUGUUGUUGAUCAGUCGUGUUAUUUUUUAUUGCUGUUGAAUCAGAUUCAUGUUGUUUUUUUUUAUUGAUGUUGGAUCAUUCAUGUACUGUUAUUCUGUUAAGUUAAGCAAAGUAAGAGUAAACUGUUAAAUUCGGUUAUUAACCGAAUAACCGAAUAAUUAGUUCGAUUUUUCGGUUAUUCGGUUAUUAUGUAGUUUGGUUAGUUAUUCGAAUAUUAUAAACAGUGUAAAUUUGAUUUUCGAUUAUAACCGAAAUAUGUAUUCGAUUCGGUUAUUAACCGAAUGUUCAC
RNAcentral lists this long non-coding RNA (849 nucleotides) under Panax ginseng (ginseng). Its description in RNAcentral is "long non-coding RNA (PGIN_LNC017598)". The record is from RNAcentral. Lineage: Eukaryota; Viridiplantae; Streptophyta; Magnoliopsida; Apiales; Araliaceae.